UACGGAGGGUGCGAGCGUUGUCCGGAAUCACUGGGCGUAAAGGGCGCGUAGGUUGGCGCGGGCAGUCAACGGUGAAAGUCCGGGCUCAACCCCGGAUCUGCCGUGCCGACUGUUAGGCUAGAGUACUGUAGGGGCAGGCGGAAUUCCGGGUGUAGCGGUGGAAUGCGUAGAGAUCCGGAGGAAGACCGGUGGCGAAGGCGGCCUGCUGGGCAGUUACUGACGCUGAGGAGCGAAAGCAUGGGGAGCGAACAGG
This 253-nucleotide ribosomal RNA is filed under the name uncultured bacterium. Its description in RNAcentral is "partial 16S ribosomal RNA". It matches the Rfam family "Bacterial small subunit ribosomal RNA", at positions 524 to 776 of the family's 1533-position model. The record is from RNAcentral.